AGAUUACCAUCCCACUUAUUGGUCGUUGGAUAAGUUGUUUUUAAGGGCUGGGAGAGUCUUAUCUGUGCAUUUUCGAGCUCAGAAAGGGCCUCGGAUGGCGUUUGGGAUUAAUUCGCCUGACGUUCAACUGAAAAGGACACCCCAGAUCCCCAGGAAGACCUCCUCACCUCAUAUAUCUCUCUAUGCGAAUACGAAGCGUCAAAAGCGUGCAAAUGUCUUGACUACGGUACACCAAUAAGUUCGGUGCAAAAUGAAUCCAAGGGC
This is a long non-coding RNA of Tigriopus californicus, 264 nucleotides long. RefSeq lists it as uncharacterized. The transcript has 3 exons. The record is from RefSeq and is a predicted model, not a curated record. Lineage: Eukaryota; Metazoa; Arthropoda; Copepoda; Harpacticoida; Harpacticidae.